Sinocyclocheilus rhinocerous is the source of this 213-nucleotide long non-coding RNA. RefSeq lists it as uncharacterized. The transcript has 3 exons. The record is from RefSeq and is a predicted model, not a curated record. NCBI's taxonomy places the organism in Eukaryota, Metazoa, Chordata, Actinopteri, Cypriniformes, Cyprinidae.
CACAGGUCUAGUCGCUCAGCAGCAGAGAAAGCGAAUUGGUCGUUGCGGCUUUCCGUAGAUAGAUGUGUGGAAGCAACCCAGUGCUGACAACAAAUCACAAUGGCUGAGUGCACUACGUUAGACAGUCUGCUGGAAAUGGGCUUUGACAGAAACAGAGCGGAGAAGGCAGUAGCACAUACUGAAAACCAGGGCAUUGAGAGAGCAAUGGACUGG